This 901-nucleotide long non-coding RNA is filed under the name Calidris pygmaea (Spoon-billed sandpiper). Its description in RNAcentral is "lncRNA (ENSCPGG00000010905.1)". The record is from RNAcentral. Lineage: Eukaryota; Metazoa; Chordata; Aves; Charadriiformes; Scolopacidae.
CACUACUGCCCUCCCGGUACUGCUUCUGCAACUCAGUUCCCAUGUCUUCAGGGGACUUACAACCCACAGCCUGGAAGCAGCCUGAUGUCUCACUGCACCCCCUGUGACCCAGGUAACCAGCAAAUAAGCAUCUCUCAGGCUGAGGACGGGAGAAUGUAUGAAAAUGUGUCUUGAACAUUCCUGACCUUCAGCAGAUGAACUGUGUAAGGACAUAGCCUGUUCUCUGAAGUAUGUUUCUGCUUUUUUCUGCUGGUACUAAUGUCAUUGGAUUGUUUCCUCAGGGCAUUACUGUGUGCUUGCAGGGCAGCCCACGCGUUACAGGACCCUGUUUGUCUGGGUUCUACUGCAGCGGAGGUGUUUCUAGUCCCACACCUGCAGAUGGUCUUCUGGGGAAUGCGUACCCCAAGGGAAAUUACUGUCCUCUGGGCUCUGCCUUUCCACAGCCGUGUCCGCCUGGUUAUUAUAGCAACUCAACUGGGAAUACUGGGAUUGGGGACUGUCUCCUAUGUGAUGCAGGGUACUUCUGCAAUGGGACUGGACUUGUGUCUCCAACUGGAUUAUGUGAGGCUGAAUUCUACUGUAGUGGAGGAGCCAUUUCUUCUAAACCUCCCAGGACAACGGUCAGUGGAGGACCGUGUACACCUGAACACUACUGUGUUGUGGGGAGCACCAGAGCCCGGCUGUGCCCUGCAGGGAGUUACAGCCCAUCUUGGAGCAUGGCACAGUGUCUGGAGUGCCCAGAGGGCUUUUACUGCACAGUGGCUUCCACAAACUACACGGAUUGCCCUGCAGGUAGGUCUGAUGGCACCUACCCACUCAUUCUGGGAAAUUGUGUUUAAGAGAUGAGCAGAUACCCUUGCGGCUUUUUGGAGUAGAUUUAUCGUUGGACUGGGUUGCACGA